This is a long non-coding RNA of Anolis carolinensis (green anole), 1014 nucleotides long. RefSeq lists it as uncharacterized. The record is from RefSeq and is a predicted model, not a curated record. Lineage: Eukaryota; Metazoa; Chordata; Lepidosauria; Squamata; Anolidae. The transcript has 2 exons.
UUCAGUGGACACUCAUUGGGAUUUGGUUAACCAGUUAAAAUUCAUGAGUAAACCAGGAUUUUUUUUAAACCUAAAAAAUUUCAAGGGGGGGGUUGAACCCCUACUCCCCCCCCUUGGCUAUAGCCCUGCUUCUGCCCCAGUUCACCCAUGGAGCCCCACACUGCCCAUCAAAUGAUGUACGAUGUUCUUAUGGGGCUCCAUGGGCGAACUGGCAUGGCAGCGUGGUGGGAUGCUGCCACCAUCAACAUGAAGGCCACCCCAUGUUCCAUAAGGAACACAGCAGCAAUGCUUCCCCACGUGGGAUGGGGAAGCAUCAGCUGGCAGCCAGGAUUCUGGGAUUUCCCCACUGCCGCUGCACUGUCGCCAUGAUUCGUCGUGGAGACAGACAAAUCAUGGCGCUAGACCUCUCCUAGCCAGUCAGCCAUGGGAAUCCAUUGGGUGACCUUAGACAAGUCACACCCUCUCGACUUUAGAGGAAAGCAAAGACAACCCUUCCUCUAAAUGAAUCUUGCUAAGAAAACUCUGUGUUGAUUUUGCCACAGGGUUGCCAUAAGCCAGAAAUGACUUUAAGGCAUACAACAGCCACUGACCUUAAAAUUCUGAGGCCUAUUUUUGGCAGGACCUAUAUUGGAUAUUGGAUUCCACAAGUGCUAAGAGGGCUCAAUGUGAAAAGCAAACCUAACAAGCAGAGUAAAAGCCCCUGAGGAUGAGUGGGUUUACACAGAGUCAAAAACAGUUCUCUCUUCUGAACCGUUGCCCAGCCAGGUGGAAUGCUUGAACAAUUCCAUGCAACAAGUAGGCGAGUCAAGGUUUACUCAAGACAUGUAUGUCUCUUUUUAUUUUUCAAGAUACGAAAGUUAAUCUUGUUUUUCUGCUGAGAUAUAAAACCACCUUUAUUUAGUACCUGUCUUUGUUUAGUACCUGUAUUCAUAAAUGUUUAUAAUUAGAGCAAUGCUUAUGAAGAAGUAUUGGUUCAGAUGUUUGCAGAUUGGAAAUACAACCUGAUCUUUUAAA